UAUUAGAUACCCUGGUAGUCCACGCAGUAAACGAUGAAUGCUUGCUGUCCGGGGGGACUGACUCCUGGGGGGCGCAGAGAAAGCGAUAAGCAUUCCACCUGGGGAGUACGCCGGCAACGGUGAAACUCAAAGGAAUUGACGGGGGCUCGCACAAGCGGAGGAACAUGUGGUUUAAUUCGAUGAUACGCGAGGAACCUUACCCGGGCUCAAACGACGGAUGAAUGUUUUUGAAAGGAGGCAGCCCUUCGGGGCGUCCGUCGAGGUGCUGCAUGGUUGUCGUCAGCUCGUGCCGUGAGGUGUCGGCUUAAGUGCCAUAACGAGCGCAACCCCCAUCGCCAGUUACCAUCAAGUAAAGUUGGGGACUCUGGCGAGACUGCCGGCGCAAGCUGCGAGGAAGGCGGGGAUGACGUCAAAUCAGCACGGCCCUUACGUCCGGGGCGACACACGUGUUACAAUGGCAGGCACAGAGAGAAGCGACAUGGCGACAUGAAGCGGAACUGUCAAAACCUGUCUCAGUUCGGAUUGGAGUCUGCAACCCGACUCCAUGAAGCUGGAUUCGCUAGUAAUCGCGCAUCAGCCACGGCGCGGUGAAUACGUUCCCGGGCCUUGUACACACCGCCCGUCAAGCCAUGGAAGCCGGGAGUGCCUGAAGUGUGCAACCGCAAGGAGCGCCCUAAGGUAAAACCGGUGACUGGGGCUAAGUCGUAACAAGGUAAC
Molecule: ribosomal RNA, 717 nt
Filed under: uncultured bacterium
Lineage: Bacteria
Description: bacterial SSU rRNA
Rfam family: Bacterial small subunit ribosomal RNA
Source: RNAcentral